Molecule: ribosomal RNA, 492 nt
Filed under: uncultured bacterium
Lineage: Bacteria
Description: bacterial SSU rRNA
Rfam family: Bacterial small subunit ribosomal RNA
Source: RNAcentral
AACGCUGGCGGCGUGCUUAACACAUGCAAGUCGAACGGUGAAAGAGAGCUUGCUCUCUGGAUCAGUGGCGAACGGGUGAGUAACACGUGAGCAAUCUGCCCCUGACUCUGGGAUAAGCGCUGGAAACGGCGUCUAAUACCGGAUGCGAGCUGCGAAGGCAUCUUCAGCAGCUGGAAAGAACUUCGGUCAGGGAUGAGCUCGCGGCCUAUCAGCUAGUUGGUGAGGUAAUGGCUCACCAAGGCGUCGACGGGGUAGCCGGCCUGAGAGGGUGACCGGCCACACUGGGACUGAGACACGGCCCAGACUCCUACGGGAGGCAGCAGUGGGGAAUAUUGCACAAUGGGCGCAAGCCUGAUGCAGCAACGCCGCGUGAGGGACGACGGCCUUCGGGUUGUAAACCUCUUUUAGCAGGGAAGAAGCGAAAGUGACGGUACCUGCAGAAAAAAGCACCGGCUAACUACGUGCCAGCAGCCGCGGUAAUACGUAGGGUGC